RNAcentral lists this ribosomal RNA (450 nucleotides) under uncultured organism. RNAcentral's name for it is "partial 16S ribosomal RNA". It matches the Rfam family "Bacterial small subunit ribosomal RNA", at positions 335 to 801 of the family's 1533-position model. The record is from RNAcentral.
ACUCCUGCGGGAGGCAGCAGUGGGGAAUAUUGGACAAUGGGCGCAAGCCUGAUCCAGCCAUGCCGCGUGAGUGAUGAAGGCCCUAGGGUUGUAAAGCUCUUUCACCGGUGAAGAUAAUGACGGUAACCGGAGAAGAAGCCCCGGCUAACUUCGUGCCAGCAGCCGCGGUAAUACGAAGGGGGCUAGCGUUGUUCGGAUUUACUGGGCGUAAAGCGCACGUAGGCGGACUAUUAAGUCAGGGGUGAAAUCCCGGGGCUCAACCCCGGAACUGCCUUUGAUACUGGUAGUCUUGAGUUCGAGAGAGGUGAGUGGAAUUCCGAGUGUAGAGGUGAAAUUCGUAGAUAUUCGGAGGAACACCAGUGGCGAAGGCGGCUCACUGGCUCGAUACUGACGCUGAGGUGCGAAAGCGUGGGGAGCAAACAGGAUUAGAAACCCUUGUAGUCCCAUGAU